GCCACAACUAAGGAGCCCUGGAGCCACAACUAAGACCCAGUGCAACCAAAUAAAUAAAUAUUUUAAAAAGAGAGUGACCUAUGUCACAUGGAAAAGCCACUAAGCCAAAGAGGUGACAGGGAAGUGGCUUCCCACACACCCAGAAGAAUGUAAGAUUACCUCCUCACAAGGGAAAAAGAGAAACCCAACCCGAUUACAGUGUAAAAAUAGGUCACUGCCUGAAUAUAGCCCUUUGGGUUACUGGCAGCCAAGCCCCUUUUGCCUCUGACUCCAGUGUCACAAGAAAGCGGCAGCACCAUCUUAGAAUAAGGGCUCCAUGGCCAGCUGCCAGCCCCGGCCUGGACUUCCCUCUGGCAUUCUAGAACUACUGGGCGCUCAGCAAGCCUCUGUCACAGCUGACUUGGAAUAGCCAGAGUUGGUAAGUUUUGUUUUGAACAAACUAGGAGGCAAUUCAAGGUUGUGCUUAUGACAAGUCUCUUUCCCCUGUAUCCAGCCAUACUUACUUCAGUAGGAAAGAAAGGAAGACUUUCAGUAGCUUGCUUGUACCUAGGCAGGGCCAACAGCAGCCUCUCUUCCAUGACAGAGUUACAAUUAUGAUCACUGUAAUGCUUUAUUUGCAGCAAAUUCUCUAGGUGUGCAUGACUGGAAGGGGUGUCAAAAUUUUGGUUCUAUGGCAAAAAACUGCUGUGGAUUGCUUUUUAAAAAAAAAAAGGCUGAGAAUUACUGAUCAAGAAUCAGUGGUAGAACAGAGAAGGUGGGAGUUCCCUGGUAGCCUAGUGGUUAGGAUUCCAGGUUUUCAUUGCCGUGGCCCAGGUUCAAUCCCUGGUCGGGGAACGAGAUCCCACAAGAAAAAAAGAACACUGACUGACUGCCACUGGGUUAAUCACUGUGGUGACAUGCGAGGGGUUACCUGAUUGGGUUUAAACACUCAAGGGCCACCCCCGGAGCUGAGGCGGGACCAAUCCCUCUCUACCAGAAGACAAAAACGUUGUUUGCUAUGGGAGGAAGUGGAGAGGUAGAAGACAUGGGGGAGGAAUGGGGACAAUUAUAAAGUCCUUCACACAUCACCUGGUAUUGAAGUUUGACUCAGAUACCCAGUAUCGAGGGCAAACGUGGAAGUGCAUUUUGUGUUUGUUUUUUGGCGCACGGCAGGUGGGAUCUUAGUUCCCUGACCAGGGAUCGAACCCGCAUCCCUUGAGCUGGAAAUGCAGAGUCUUAACCACUGGACCGCAAGGGAAGUCCUAAAAGUGCAUUUUGAGUGAUACUUUAUCAUUUAACAAAGAUGAACGUUUAUUCCUAUACAGAGACAAAUUCCCUUGGAGGGUAAACUCAAGAAACAUAUGUCUCGGAACUCUACGUAGGGGAAAAUAGGUAAAGGUGAGGAGAGCAGGCUAAGUUUGGAAAGAUGCAGUGAAACCCAUUCGAACAGGCCAUUCUUACAUUGAUCCUCCAGAAGGCAGCAGACAUAACAGUAAAUCAAAACCAACUGAAAUUAUUUCAGCAGAGGGCUGAGAUGAAAUGGUCCAGAUGCUUCUCUUCAAAUGAUCUAACUUACUGCAAAUAGAGAUCAACUUGUCUUAGACGCCUUCUUAUAUAUCAAAUUUCUAAAAAUUAGCUACAACACUUUAAAAACCUGACCCCUAGAGUUUUUCAAGUUAUUGUCAUUAUCAGAUUAUCCUGAGAGUGUGUUUGUAUGUACAUGUGUGUACCUGUCACUUAUUUUAAAUAAAAUAUUUGAGGGCUACUGGGUGCUCUGCUCUGUGCUAACAGGGUGGAAAUGGGAGGAUUCAAGGCCACAUCUCUGCCCUCAAGGAGUACAACCACCAGCUGAGUAAAAUUACUAUUUGUCAGGCACUGUGCUAACUGCUUUACAUUUAUUUCCUCAUUUAAUUUUAUCCACAAUGAUCCUAUGGGCUAAGUAUCAUCAAUGGAUUUUCCAAAUUAGGAAACCAAAGUUAAAUGGUUAAGCAACUUGACUCAGCUCACACAAGCAGCAUGCAACAGCUGGGAUUCACACCUAGGUCUUCCUCAUUGCAAAACUACGCUCUUAACCCACAGCACAAACAUCCCGUAAGAGUGGACAGUACAAGACAGUACGUUAGAGUGAAGAGCUCAGUACUGGGACGCAGAGCUGAGUGCCUCUGGAUUCUGGGGAAGCCAAAGAAGGCACAUGGUGUGAGGAUGAGGAUGAGCCAUCACACGCUGCUGUCACUCAUUGAACUGAAGUAAGAGAGGAUGACACGGGGAAAGCUACAGGAGCCUGGAACUCCCAAACCUAUUUGGAAGCUUUAAGGGGACCUCGACUAGGAGGAUGAGUGAGCUGCGAUUUGCCUGUGACGGCAACACCAUCCUUCCCCCUAGAAGCCAUCCCCCACUCCCGCACCUCUCAGCCUUGGACCACAGUCGCCCAGGAAAAGCGGAAAGGAAUUGGGAUACUUAUCCUGGGAGAAAGGAAGCAAAAAGGAGAAAGGGGGUGAAGAUGAAAGAAUUUUGAGGUUCAAGAGAGAUAUACUGACAGAGUUCACAAAGGGGACCAGGUUUCUCAGCGAGAUUUCUACCAUAGAAUGAAUGGCUUUUAUACUCAGAAAACAACAUUAUGUUUUAAAACUUCUCUUCAAUUAAAGCAGUCUAUUAAAGAUAACUGCUGCGUUCUGAAGA
Non-coding RNA from Kogia breviceps (pygmy sperm whale), 2658 nucleotides. The record is from RefSeq and is a predicted model, not a curated record. Lineage: Eukaryota; Metazoa; Chordata; Mammalia; Artiodactyla; Physeteridae.